Chelonoidis abingdonii (Abingdon island giant tortoise) is the source of this 652-nucleotide non-coding RNA. Lineage: Eukaryota; Metazoa; Chordata; Testudines; Testudinidae. The record is from RefSeq and is a predicted model, not a curated record.
AAGAUUUCACUCUAGUCUGCAAGCUGAAGUAACCUUUGGUUUUACUUACAAAAAGUAGGGUAGUUUUCCCAGAUCUUGUUCUAAACAUCAUCUCUUUAAGAGGCAACAACUGAAAUACAUACUUACAGAUCACACUAUCAGCUGCGGGCCCUUGUCCUUUCUUACCAAACAGUUUUGGAUUCCACUGAUGUGUCUACAGUGCUUUUCAAGAUGGUGCACCUUGACACCAACAUUAGCACUAAAUUUGUUAUAUAUCAUUGUGUUUAGCAUCUGUUCAAUGACGUAUGCAUUCUGUACCACCUUACGCUAAUAAGCUCUUUACAAGAAAAUAUAGCAGUUUUGUAAAAUUUGAACAGACUGUUGUGAUAACUAAUUAAAAUGCAACUUUAUCCAGUUGUUUAAAGAACUUGCAUGAACUUCUGUGUACAAAGCUCAUACAGUUGUGACAAAUCUAAACUUAAUCUAUAAAAGCUUGCACACUAUCACUGUAUUAGUUUAAUGCUGCUUAUCUUCUGUUAAUUAGAAGUUUGUAAACAGUACUUGAUGCUGGAAAGUAGAAGUAAAAUGGCAGCACAGAGAGCAGCACUAAAAGAAAUACUCAGGGCUGGUCUACACUACGGGAUAAAAUCGAUUUUAGAUACGCAAUUUCAGC